UAGGCUAAUGCUCGCUGGCUGGGGCGAUUAGUUGUUAACUAAUUUUAUACGGGAUCGAGGCCCGUUGGUCUA
RNAcentral lists this transfer RNA (72 nucleotides) under Cyrtodactylus sp. RNAcentral describes it as "tRNA-Asx". The record is from RNAcentral. Lineage: Eukaryota; Metazoa; Chordata; Lepidosauria; Squamata; Gekkonidae. RNAcentral also lists the same sequence under 2 other names.